UACGUAGGGUGCAAGCGUUGUCCGGAAUUAUUGGGCGUAAAGAGCUCGUAGGCGGUUUGUCGCGUCGGCUGUGAAAACUCGGGGCUCAACCCCGAGCCUGCAGUCGAUACGGGCAGACUAGAGUGCGGUAGGGGAGACUGGAAUUCCUGGUGUAGCGGUGAAAUGCGCAGAUAUCAGGAGGAACACCGGUGGCGAAGGCAGCCUCCUGGGCCAGCACUGACGCUCAUGCACGAAAGCGUGGGGAGCAAACAGG
This 253-nucleotide ribosomal RNA is filed under the name uncultured bacterium. RNAcentral describes it as "partial 16S ribosomal RNA". It matches the Rfam family "Bacterial small subunit ribosomal RNA", at positions 524 to 776 of the family's 1533-position model. The record is from RNAcentral.